RNAcentral lists this unclassified non-coding RNA (790 nucleotides) under Bombus terrestris (buff-tailed bumblebee). RNAcentral describes it as "misc RNA ENSBTSG00005020955.1". Lineage: Eukaryota; Metazoa; Arthropoda; Insecta; Hymenoptera; Apidae. The record is from RNAcentral.
GAAAAUAUCGUGUACUCUAGACUCGGGAAGAGAAAAUACCAAAACUGAGAAAAUUACUCGAACGACUAUAUGGGAAAAUUCCAGUAAUUGCGACGUCGUCGCGACCAUCUCGCUCCUGGGUUUCAAUUUAAAUCAAUGCCGUCUCGAAAAAUCAAUCAUCGUCCGCUCCGCUGCUGACCGAUAUAUCGCGGCGAAAUUUAUGAACCACGCUCCCAUUAAUCAAUACUAUCGGGUCGCGCUCGUAAAAAUCGCAGAUUCAUUUCUGUUGAAAGGGGGCUCGCGCGCAUAAUUGCAUCCUGGCUACGGAGAAGAAAGGGGUAAAGGGAAGAAGAAAGGAAGAGACAGAGACAGACAGAGAGAGAGAGAGAAAGGAAAGGCUGGGCACAAUUUCGAUUUCCAUACCACAGAGGGAGGGAAUACGACGUCCACUGGUGCGCGGUGGUUGGACUCGCGAGAUACCGGACGAUCAUCUCCGCACGUCCGACGAUUCCUGAUUUAUGAGCCGAGCAACGCGUGCACUUUUCAAAACUUUAUCUCUCCCUACAAAGCUUAGGGUGGUGCAACGCUAGCUUCUCGCGUGUCCGUGCAAUUGCACAGCACUGGCAAUUAUCGCGAAGCCCGAGAGAGUCCUGCGUCGAUCGACCGUACACGCCGCUUUGAAAUCUUUCACCGCCUGUCUCGUGUCUCUUCCAACCCUUCUCUCGUAUUUUCCUCUGAUCGUUUAUAAACGGUUAAGCGACUCGUCAAACGGAUUCGUCAAACGAAGCGCGACAGCGAAGAAAAGAAAUAU